RNAcentral lists this ribosomal RNA (422 nucleotides) under uncultured bacterium. Its description in RNAcentral is "partial 16S ribosomal RNA". It matches the Rfam family "Bacterial small subunit ribosomal RNA", at positions 360 to 774 of the family's 1533-position model. The record is from RNAcentral.
AAUUUUGGACAAUGGGGGAAACCCUGAUCCAGCCAUCCCGCGUGUAUGAUGAAGGCCUUCGGGUUUUAAAUUACUUUUGGCAGAGAAGAAAAGGUAUCUCCUAAUACGAGAUACUGCUGACGGUACCUGCAGAAUAAGCACCGGCUACAUACGUUCCAGCCGCCGCGUGAACACGUAGGGUGGAAGCGUUAAUCGGAAUUACUGGGCGUAAAGCGUGUGUAGGCGGGUCGGAAAGAAAGAUGUGAAAACCCAGGGCUCAACCUUGGAACUGCAUUUUUAACUGCCGAGCUAGAGUAUGUCAGAGAGGGGUAGAAUUCCACGUGUAGCAGUGAAAUGCGUAGAUAUGUGGAGGAAUACCGAUGGCGAAGGCAGCCCCCUGGGAUAAUACUGACGCUCAGACACGAAAGCGUGGGGAGCAAACA